AACUUUCGGCACUGGAUCACUUGGCUCUCGCAUCGAUGAAGAACGCAGCGAAAUGCGAUAAGUAAUGUGAAUUGCAGAAUUCAGUGAAUCAUCGAAUCUUUGAACGCACCUUGCACCCUUUGGCAUUCCGAAGGGUAUGCUCGUUUGAGUGUCAUUGUACUCUCACACUCCCGAUGCUUUUGGAUUGGGAGUGGUGGACUUGGGUGUUGCUGCUUUACUGUGGCUCACCUCAAAUGGAGUAGUGCAACUCUUGGUUGGACAUAGUACGGCGUGAUAAGUGUCUUCGCCGGCGCCUCAUUAGAGGGUGGCCGAUCGGGAGCUCUGUGCUUCAAACCGUCUUCGGACAACAUCUGACAACUUGACCUCAAAUCGAGUAGGACUACCCGCUGAACUUAAGCAUAUCAAUAAGCGGAGGCU
Molecule: unclassified non-coding RNA, 417 nt
Filed under: uncultured Sebacina
Lineage: Eukaryota; Fungi; Basidiomycota; Agaricomycetes; Sebacinales; Sebacinaceae
Description: sequence contains ITS2
Rfam family: 5.8S ribosomal RNA (bases 1-154)
Source: RNAcentral